This 450-nucleotide ribosomal RNA is filed under the name uncultured bacterium. Its description in RNAcentral is "partial 16S ribosomal RNA". It matches the Rfam family "Bacterial small subunit ribosomal RNA", at positions 354 to 796 of the family's 1533-position model. The record is from RNAcentral.
GUAGGGAAUCUUCCACAAUGGACGAAAGUCUGAUGGAGCAACGCCGCGUGAGUGAAGAAGGUUCUCGGAUCGUAAAACUCUGUUGUGAGGGAAGAACAAGUACCGGAGUAACUGCCGGUACCUUGACGGUACCUCAUUAGAAAGCCACGGCUAACUACGUGCCAGCAGCCGCGGUAAUACGUAGGUGGCAAUCGUUGUCCGGAAUCAUUGGGCGUAAAGCGCGCGCAGGCGGUCCCUUAAGUCUGAUGUGAAAGCCCACGGCUCAACCGUGGAGGGUCAUUGGAAACUGGGGGACUUGAGUGCAGAAGAGGAAAGCGGAAUUCCAAGUGUAGCGGUGAAAUGCGUAGAGAUUUGGAGGAACACCAGUGGCGAAGGCGGCUUUCUGGUCUGUAACUGACGCUGAGGCGCGAAAGCGUGGGGAGCAAACAGGAUUAGAAACCCUGGUAGUCC